RNAcentral lists this small nuclear RNA (22 nucleotides) under Arabidopsis thaliana (thale cress). Its description in RNAcentral is "snRNA_13521". Lineage: Eukaryota; Viridiplantae; Streptophyta; Magnoliopsida; Brassicales; Brassicaceae. The record is from RNAcentral.
UUUCCAUUUUUGGUGGUUCAGU